This 69-nucleotide transfer RNA is filed under the name Ictidomys tridecemlineatus (thirteen-lined ground squirrel). Its description in RNAcentral is "Spermophilus tridecemlineatus (thirteen-lined ground squirrel) tRNA". It matches the Rfam family "tRNA". Rfam says of the family: Transfer RNA (tRNA) molecules are approximately 80 nucleotides in length. Their secondary structure includes four short double-helical elements and three loops (D, anti-codon, and T loops). Lineage: Eukaryota; Metazoa; Chordata; Mammalia; Rodentia; Sciuridae. The record is from Rfam by way of RNAcentral.
GGGAUUGUAGCUCAGUGGUAGAGUGCUCACCUAGCACAUGUGAGGUACUGGGUUCAAUCCUCAGUACCA